This 1229-nucleotide ribosomal RNA is filed under the name Duplacrorhynchus heyleni. RNAcentral describes it as "eukaryotic LSU rRNA". It matches the Rfam family "Eukaryotic large subunit ribosomal RNA", at positions 417 to 1466 of the family's 3401-position model. The record is from RNAcentral. Lineage: Eukaryota; Metazoa; Platyhelminthes; Rhabdocoela; Polycystididae.
GACCGGGUAGAGCUGAAGGAGGCUUUUCAUUUGGUAUUUCGUUGGAGAUACUCUGUGAGUACGGAUACUUCUUGAUCCCCUUGUAGAGUGUUCUUCGGUGUUAUGCCGUGUGUUGAGUCGACACCGCGAUUAGUAAGUAGGUUAGUCUGGCAUUUGGUGGAAGGUAGCUCAGCCCCCGGUUGAGUAUUAUAGCCGCCUUGUCCAGCACUAGCUGAAUACUAUUAUGUUCCGGCACUUAAGUCGAUCUGAGGUGCGAUGUUUGUGUGACAACUCAAAAGAGAUGGCAUGCAUUAUCUGAGCAUCGAGGGAAGGCCUCUUGGUGUUGGUCAGAAUCUGCGGUGGUAUUGUAGGCAUUCUACCUGACCCGUCUUGAAACACGGACCAAGGAGUUUAACAUGUACGCAAGUCAUUGGGUGGUACGAAACCUAAAGGCGAAGUGAAAGUAAAGACUAACCUCGUUAGUUGAGGUAGGAUCCUGGUUCAAUCGGGCGUAAGCACGUUGGCUAGGCGCACUACCAGCUCGUCCCAUACUCUAUUGAGUGGGGCGAAGCAAGAGCGUACAUGUUGAGACCCGAAAGAUGGUGAACUAUGCUUGUGUAGGUUGAAGCCAGGGGAAACCCUGGUGGAGGACCGUAGCGAUUCUGACGUGCAAAUCGAUCGUCAAACAUGAGUAUAGGGGCGAAAGACUAAUCGAACCAUCUAGUAGCUGGUUCCCUCCGAAGUUUCCCUCAGGAUAGCUGGCACUCAAGAAACAAACAGUUUUAUCCGGUAAAGCGAAUGAUUAGCAGUAUUGGGGAAGAAAUUUCCUCAACUGAUUCUCAAACUUUAAAUGGGUGAGACGCUCAACUCUCUUUAUUGGAGCUGAGCAUUGAAUGUGAGUGCCAAGUGGGCCAUUUUUGGUAAGCAGAACUGGCGAUGUGGGAUGAACCAAACGUCUGGUUACGGAGCCAAACAUAACGCUCAUCAGAUACCACAAAAGGUGUUGGUUGAUAUUGACAGCAGGACGGUGGCCAUGGAAGUCGGAAUCCGCUAAGGAGUGUGUAACAACUCACCUGCCGAAUCAACCAGCCCUGAAAAUGGAUGGCGCUGGAGCGUUGGUCCUAUACCAGACCGUUAUUGCGAUACUCAGUAUGCAAUAACGAGUAGGAGGGCGUAGUGGUGAGCAUUGAAGCCUAGGCCGUGAGGCUGGGUGGAGCCGCCACUGGUGCAGAUCUUGGUGGCAGUAGCAA